ACGAACGCUGGCGGCGUGCCUAAUACAUGCAAGUUGAGCGAUGAAGAUUGGUGCUUGCACCAAUUUGAAGAGCAGCGAACGGGUGAUUAACGCGUGGGGAAUCUGCCUUUGAGCGGGGGACAACAUUUGGAAACGAAUGCUAAUACCGCAUAACAACUUUAAACUUAAGUUUUAAGUUUGAAAGAUGCAAUUGCAUCACUCAAAGAUGAUCCCGCGUUGUAUUAGCUAGUUGGUGAGGUAAAGGCUCACCAAGGCGAUGAUACAUAGCCGACCUGAGAGGGUGAUCGGCCACAUUGGGACUGAGACACGGCCCAAACUCCUACGGGAGGCAGCAGUAGGGAAUCUUCGGCAAUGGACGAAAGUCUGACCGAGCAACGCCGCGUGAGUGAAGAAGGUUUUCGGAUCGUAAAACUCUGUUGGUAGAGAAGAACGUUGGUGAGAGUGGAAAGCUCAUCAAGUGACGGUAACUACCCAGAAAGGGACGGCUAACUACGUG
Molecule: ribosomal RNA, 496 nt
Filed under: uncultured bacterium
Lineage: Bacteria
Description: partial 16S ribosomal RNA
Rfam family: Bacterial small subunit ribosomal RNA
Source: RNAcentral